AGUACAUCUGUCACCCGCCACCUCCCCCCUGCCUCCCCCGCCGCCGGGACCCACGGCCGCGCCAGCCUGGCCACGAGUGGGAGCGCGUCGCGACCGCCAGGGGCCGGGAGGCGACGGCCAGUUACAAGUGCGAGACUCCUGCGAGGUGCGGGCGGAGUCCAAGAAUUACCCCAAGGGAAUGCUGUGGUACUCCUUCUAAAGUAAGCAUUCCAACAGCAAUGAGAGUGGAAGACAGGGGAUGUAUUCAUUAGUGAACCGGUAGUCUCAGCAACAGUGAACCUUCAUCUGGUGAUGGAUGGAGACAGAAACAGAGACCCACACUGG
Molecule: long non-coding RNA, 324 nt
Organism: Microtus oregoni (creeping vole)
Lineage: Eukaryota; Metazoa; Chordata; Mammalia; Rodentia; Cricetidae
Exons: 3
Source: RefSeq, a predicted model, not a curated record